This 633-nucleotide unclassified non-coding RNA is filed under the name Hevea brasiliensis (rubber tree). The record is from RNAcentral. Lineage: Eukaryota; Viridiplantae; Streptophyta; Magnoliopsida; Malpighiales; Euphorbiaceae.
AAAAAUUUAAUUGCAUUCUUUCCUUACAAAUAAUUUAUUCCAACAGAAGCCAUUAAAUAAAAAGGGUUCAGAAAUUUCAAAAGGAACUGUCAACCAAACAAAACGCACUCCAUCCCACCAUGCAAUUAAGCUUUACAACAAUAUCUCAAGUAUAUGAGGUUCAACCUAUACAAUUUGUCAACAGGAGAAGUAAUUAGAAAACACAGGACCUGCUGAAUACUUCAGUUGUCACCUUUGCCCUUAGCUCCAGACUGAAAUUCUUCACAGCAGCUGCAAAUUACACUUCAAUAACCAGGUCAGAUUCCUUCAAACAAAUUAAAAACAAUUUUAGGUUAGUGACAUAUGUUAAGUACUAAAUUGAAAGUCUAGAAUAGAGAAUCAGGGCCACAGAUCUGUGACUUAAGAAACAAGGGUAGAGAGGGGGUGAGGGAAUCAAUGAAGACAUUUGCAAGUGAAAUGAUCAGAAGCCAAAAGAAACCACAACCAUGAAUUAUAUUUAUGCAAGCACAAUGAAUGAACAUGUCUGGGUGAGGGUUUUCCUAGAUCAGCCCACUAGGCUCGUGAACUAUUGAGUACAACUUUCUUUCCAACACUCAAAACAUAAACCCUCACAGAAAAAAAAAAAAAAAAAAA